CCACAACCUUCAACAGGAAAAAUGAGCUGGGUUUGGAUGCUUCUCCAGUAAUGAAGAACCCUCCCAAGCUGGAGGGUGAUGCUACUGAUGGCUCCUUUGCCAAUAAGCAUGGCCGCCAUGUCAUUGGCCACGUUGAUGACUAUAGUGCCCUAAGACAGCAGAUUGAAGAGGGCAGACUGCUGGUCAAGAAGGUAGCAUCCCUCGUGAGAUCAACCUGCAACUUCCUUGGCCUUGAAGCUCUAGGCACAGAGGUGAUGGGCAGUGAAGCCAUCCAUGAGCUCAGGAG
Long non-coding RNA from Hippopotamus amphibius kiboko, 286 nucleotides. RefSeq lists it as uncharacterized. The transcript has 3 exons. Lineage: Eukaryota; Metazoa; Chordata; Mammalia; Artiodactyla; Hippopotamidae. The record is from RefSeq and is a predicted model, not a curated record.